Molecule: ribosomal RNA, 484 nt
Filed under: uncultured bacterium
Lineage: Bacteria
Description: partial 16S ribosomal RNA
Rfam family: Bacterial small subunit ribosomal RNA
Source: RNAcentral
AUUGAACGCUGGCGGCAGGCCUAACACAUGCAAGUCGAGCGGAUGAAGGGAGCUUGCUCCUGGAUUCAGCGGCGGACGGGUGAGUAAUGCCUAGGAAUCUGCCUGGUAGUGGGGGAUAACGUCCGGAAACGGGCGCUAAUACCGCAUACGUCCUGAGGGAGAAAGUGGGGGAUCUUCGGACCUCACGCUAUCAGAUGAGCCUAGGUCGGAUUAGCUAGUUGGUGGGGUAAAGGCCUACCAAGGCGACGAUCCGUAACUGGUCUGAGAGGAUGAUCAGUCACACUGGAACUGAGACACGGUCCAGACUCCUACGGGAGGCAGCAGUGGGGAAUAUUAGACGAUGGGCGAAAGCCUGAUCCAGCCAUGCCGCGUGUGUGAAGAAGGUCUUCGGAUUGUAAAGCACUUUAAGUUGGGAGGAAGGGCAGUAAGUUAAUACCUUGCUGUUUUGACGUUACCAACAGAAUAAGCACCGGCUAACUUCGUG